This 72-nucleotide transfer RNA is filed under the name Bos taurus (domestic cattle). It matches the Rfam family "tRNA". Rfam says of the family: Transfer RNA (tRNA) molecules are approximately 80 nucleotides in length. Their secondary structure includes four short double-helical elements and three loops (D, anti-codon, and T loops). The record is from Rfam by way of RNAcentral. RNAcentral also lists the same sequence under 5 other names. Lineage: Eukaryota; Metazoa; Chordata; Mammalia; Artiodactyla; Bovidae.
UCCCUGAUAUCUCAGUUGGUAAAGAAUCCACUUGCAAUUUGGAUGACCUGGGUUCCAUCCCUGGGCUGGGAA